Molecule: ribosomal RNA, 1929 nt
Filed under: Triticum aestivum (bread wheat)
Lineage: Eukaryota; Viridiplantae; Streptophyta; Magnoliopsida; Poales; Poaceae
Description: partial small subunit ribosomal RNA
Source: RNAcentral
GUGGAUGGGUUAGGUGCUGGCACUCUUUGCCGCCAGUCUCGAGUUCGCUGGUGGUUGGUUCGGGUAUCGGCGGCGGCGGCGGCGGUCCCUGGGGAGGGGGGAAGGAAAGGGGGUGCUCCACGUAAAUAUGCGAGCGUGUGGAAGGACUGUGAAGGACAUUGAGGGCGAAAGUCGAGUGAGGCUAGUUAGAGCUAAACGGUCGGGAGGCGCUGCGGCCGUCCAGCGACAACUCGGACUGAUGAGGGGCAUCGCCUGUACCCUAGCUGCCGCGAGCCACCACGCCGAGGCCGCGCGCGGCCUAACCGGGGGUUCUCACCUCAGGAACCUAGAUGAAAGUUCGGUACACCACCAAAGUUCGAGUUUUGUUGAUGAUUCCAACCUGCGAGAAGUCAAACACACUCCCAUAGGUAACGAAGAAGUGGUGUUUUUGUCAUGAGAGGAUUCUGUAGUCGUCAAUUUAGUCCCCUCCUUCACGCGUAACGCCACGAUCCUCGGUCGCCAAUAUGGCCCCGACUCUAACAAGCCGAAGAUCGUUUGGUGGGAGUCAAGGCAUAGUGUCACUACUGGCGUCUGUCUUUUCGACCACUUGUCAAACCUAGACAUAAAGGAGUGAACUAUUGUGUUCUGGACGGUUUAAAUCAACGCUAAUUUCUACGUCUAAAAAGUCUACAACUACGACAAAAAACAACGAACGGUGUACCUUGUUGUGUCCUUUAAUAAUUUCCGAAUGGGGUUGUUGACUUCUAACAACUAGAGAGACGCCUAAAGGCUAACGCAUUGUAGUUACUCAUACGACUCACCAUACCGGUACGAGUAUCCCGUGGUCUUGAAGUCCUUCUCCGACAAAUACCAAACUGCCUCCAAGAAGCUCUACUUUAUUCUUUACGUGCCGAACAACGGUUGGGCCCUACAAUAGGGUGCAGAUAAGUCGAGGGAGAACAAGGAGAUUAUUUCCGUUUUGACUAGUUCGACUCGUUAUAUUAUUAACUACGUUUUAGACCCCAAUGGCCCCGUCCUGCACCUCGAUUCCUUCGUUUAGACAUGUGGCUCUAUCGACUUCCGUAAGUACGAAUACCUUAUUUUCCGGUGGCAGUACAAGGACUCCAACUUGUUCCUAACAGUCUCCGACGACUUAGGUUUCAAUGAUAGUCGAAGUGAGGUUUAGAAUAGACGUACUUUGCACCCUACGUUAGAUGAUACAAACAACUUUACCGUGGACCUCACUGACAGUCACUAAACAUAGUCGUAGAGUUCAGAUGAAUACUCCCACUUCUUAAACAGUUCGACAAUUUACCGUCGUUACAAGGAGUGUGUGCGGUACAACAACCUAGUUUAAUGACGAAGUACUUACAGAAGCUCCUGUCUUAAGGACCUUCCCGUUAGUAGUAGAGACAGUAUCUGUUAGAACAUUUCCCUCGUAGACCGGUCCGGCACGUCUUGGAGUUAGACUACUACCCUGACGGACUCUUGUACCCCGACGUUAUAGUCGGGGAUAAAGGAACUAUACAACACGGAAACAACACGAGAAAGAGCUACUACGAAACCUCAAUUCGUGGGUAGAGACAAAAGGCAACUCUUCGUUUCUCGACUUACAGCCUCACAUUGGUUUGAGCGAGUUGUCGUUUUGAACCAAACACGACCACAUCAUAAAUCUCUCCUCGUUGUUAAUCGUCAACUUAUUCUCAUACUUGACUCACCGAACCACAUUACUUUCAGGUUUCCGAUAAUAUAGGAUGUCACCUAACAACAGUACUCUAGUUAUUUCGUCACAUUUUGGGCUAAGUCUCUGUAGUUGGUAACGACAGUCGUAACCUAUUAUCAAUCUUCACACAAUGAAAAUUUAUAAUUUCCUAUUUAAUCAAAAGUUCAAUAAACAGUUUAAAAUAGAACACACUGCACUGGUCUAGGAUUUGAAAUGGUGUUAUUACG